Vicia faba (fava bean) is the source of this 294-nucleotide non-coding RNA. The record is from the annotation of a GenBank genome assembly. Lineage: Eukaryota; Viridiplantae; Streptophyta; Magnoliopsida; Fabales; Fabaceae.
UCAUUCGCUUACAUCAAGGAUUCCGUCAAACGAGGCUUGGACAAUUACUCGGAGAAGUAUAUCGAAACAGACUCGAUUCAGCCGCUGCUUCAUGUUCUUUAUGGUGGCAUGAUCUUCUCCUACCUCGUCGCUCUUCCCAACGAGCGUCGCCAUCUCGCUCACAAGGAGCAUGCUGAAUCUCAUCACUGAUUCAGGAUCCUUGUUGAUUUGGAGAUAUGGUUGGUUUAGGCAGAAGGAUAUUGACAUCAAAUAAGUUUCUUGUAUUUUAAUUGUUGUUAAAUGUGCGCAAAACAU